GCCAGAAAUGGUGGCACAUGCCUGUAAUCCCAGCUCCUUGGGAGGCUGAGGCAGGAGGAUCACAAGUUCAAGGCCAGCCUCAGCAAUUUAGCAAGAUCCUGUCUCAA
RNAcentral lists this small RNA (107 nucleotides) under Marmota monax (woodchuck). The record is from RNAcentral. Lineage: Eukaryota; Metazoa; Chordata; Mammalia; Rodentia; Sciuridae.